RNAcentral lists this long non-coding RNA (229 nucleotides) under Olea europaea (common olive). RNAcentral's name for it is "long non-coding RNA (OEUR_LNC014377)". The record is from RNAcentral. Lineage: Eukaryota; Viridiplantae; Streptophyta; Magnoliopsida; Lamiales; Oleaceae.
GACGAUCGAUAAUUCCACAAUUAUUUAUUAUUCUUUUCCAAGAUAUAAUAAACCUAUGUUUACCACGAGACGAUCAUAUUCCUAGUUCGAAUUCAUAUGGCGAACAUGCAUUGACAAUUAGGAUUAUCACUUAUGAUCGCACACGCCACAAAUAUUAUUUUUAAUAUUUAUUGCCCGUGUGUCCCAAUAAUAGUGUUCUACCUAUCGUGAGUUUUCCAACAUUACGAAA